Long non-coding RNA from Serinus canaria (Common canary), 411 nucleotides. RefSeq lists it as uncharacterized. The record is from RefSeq and is a predicted model, not a curated record. The transcript is spliced from 4 exons. NCBI's taxonomy places the organism in Eukaryota, Metazoa, Chordata, Aves, Passeriformes, Fringillidae.
CGUGUCCCCACUCUGUGCUGGGUCCCAGGUGUGUCCCUGUGUCCCAACUCACCCCUGGCCCAUGCACCGGGCCCACAGGUGCUGGGUCACAGGGGUGUCCCCGUGUCCCCACUCACCCCUGGCCCAUGCACAGGGCCCACAGGUGCUGGGUCACAGGUGUGUCCCCAUGUCCCCACUCACCCCUGGCCCAUGCACAGGGCCCGCAGGUGCUGGGUCACAGGUGUGUCCCCACUCACCCCUGGCCCAUGCACAGGGCCCGCAGGUGCUGGGUCACAGGUGUGUACACGCUGGGGGGCAGGGCCAGGUAGAAGAGCCGGUGGGCGCGGUCGCCCCCGGGCAGCCCCCGCAGGUGAGCGUCCAGCGCCCGGAACGAGGCCUCGUCCCCGUACUGACCCCGCACGAAGCUCUGCA